RNAcentral lists this ribosomal RNA (492 nucleotides) under uncultured bacterium. RNAcentral describes it as "partial 16S ribosomal RNA". It matches the Rfam family "Bacterial small subunit ribosomal RNA", at positions 30 to 507 of the family's 1533-position model. The record is from RNAcentral.
AGCGAACGCUGGCGGUAGGCCUAACACAUGCAAGUCGAACGGCAGCACAGUAAGAGCUUGCUCUUACGGGUGGCGAGUGGCGGACGGGGGCGGAAUACAUCGGAAUCUACUUUUUCGUUUGGGCUAACGUAGGGAAACUUACGCUAAUACCGCAUACGACCUACGGGUGAAAGCAGGGGAUCUUCGGACCUUGUGCGAUUGAAUGAGCCGAUGUCGGAUUAGCUAGGUGGCGGGGUAGAGGCGCUCCAAGGCGACGAUCCGUAGCUGGUAUGAGAGGGUGAUUAGGCAGACUGGAAGUGAGACAGAGCCGAGACUCCUGCAGUGGGACGCAGUGGGGAAUAUUGGAGGAUGGGGGAAAGGGUGAUCCAGCCAUACCGGGUGGAGGAAGACGGCGUUCGGGUUGGAGAAUGAUUUUGUUGGGAAAGAAAAGCAGCUGGUUAAUACCCCGCUGUUAUGACGGUACCCAAAGAAUAAGCACCGGCUAACUUCGUG